RNAcentral lists this ribosomal RNA (416 nucleotides) under uncultured bacterium. RNAcentral's name for it is "bacterial SSU rRNA". It matches the Rfam family "Bacterial small subunit ribosomal RNA", at positions 770 to 1187 of the family's 1533-position model. The record is from RNAcentral.
UAACAGGAUUAGAUACCCUGGUAGUCCAUGCCGUAAACGGUGGGCACUAGGUGUGGGGACUUUCAACGGUUUCCGUGCCGAAGCUAACGCAUUAAGUGCCCCGCCUGGGGAGUACGGCCGCAAGGCUAAAACUCAAAGGAAUUGACGGGGGCCCGCACAAGCGGCGGAGCAUGUUGCUUAAUUCGAGGCAACGCGAAGAACCUUACCUGGGUUUGACAUGUACCGAAAAGCCAUAGAGAUAUGGCGUCCUUCGGGGCGGUACACAGGUGGUGCAUGGCUGUCGCCAGCUCGUGUCGUGAGAUGUUGGGUUAAGUCCCGCAACGAGCGCAACCCUCGUCCUGUGUUGCCAGCAAGUUAUGUUGGGGACUCGCAGGAGACUGCCGGGGUCAACUCGGAGGAAGGUGGGGAUGACGUAA